Molecule: ribosomal RNA, 497 nt
Filed under: uncultured bacterium
Lineage: Bacteria
Description: partial 16S ribosomal RNA
Rfam family: Bacterial small subunit ribosomal RNA
Source: RNAcentral
GAUGAACGCUGGCGGCGUGCCUAAUACAUGCAAGUCGAGCGAACGGACGAGAAGCUUGCUUCUCUGAUGUUAGCGGCGGACGGGUGAGUAACACGUGGAUAACCUACCUAUAAGACUGGGAUAACUUCGGGAAACCGGAGCUAAUACCGGAUAAUAUUUUGAACCGCAUGGUUCAAAAGUAAAAGACGGUCUUGCUGUCACUUAUAGAUGGAUCCGCGCUGCAUUAGCUAGUUGGUAAGGUAACGGCUUACCAAGGCAACAAUGCAUAGCCGACCUGAGAGGGUGAUCGGCCACACUGGAACUGAGACACGGUCCAGACUCCUACGGGAGGCAGCAGUAGGGAAUCUUCCGCAAUGGGCGAAAGCCUGACGGAGCAACGCCGCGUGAGUGAUGAAGGUCUUCGGAUCGUAAAACUCUGUUAUUAGGGAAGAACAUAUGUGUAAGUAACUGUGCACAUCUUGACGGUACCUAAUCAGAAAGCCACGGCUAACUACGUG